AUGCAUGUCUAAGUACAAGCCGAUUUAAGGCGAAACCGCGAAUGGCUCAUUAAAUCAGCUAUGAUUCAUUGGAUCUGUACCCACACUUACUUGGAUAACUGUGGUAAUUCUAGAGCUAAUACAUGCACCACGUCUCUGACCGCAAGGGAAGAGCGCUUUUAUUAGUUCAAAACCGGUCGGGCCUCGGUCCGUCACCCCACCGUGUUGAAUCUGAAUAACUUGUCGCUGAGCGCACGGUCUCCGCACCGGCGCCGCCUCUUUCAAGUGUCUGCCUUAUCAGCUUUCGAUUGUAGGUUAUACGCCUACAAUGGCUAUAACGGGUAACGGGGAAUCAGGGUUCGAUUCCGGAGAGGGAGCCUGAGAAACGGCUACCACAUCUAAGGAAGGCAGCAGGCACGCAAAUUACCCACUCCCGGCACGGGGAGGUAGUGACGAAAAAUAACGAUGCGAGACUCAUCCGAGGCCUCGCAAUCGGAAUGAGUACACUUUAAAUCCUUUAACGAGGAUCUAUUGGAGGGCAAGUCUGGUGCCAGCAGCCGCGGUAAUUCCAGCUCCAAUAGCGUAUAUUAAAGUUGUUGCGGUUAAAAAGCUCGUAGUUGGAUUUCAGUUCUGGACUGACGGUUCACCGCCCGGUGCAUACUGUCACGCUCCGAACAAGCAUAACAGCCCGCUGGCUCGCACGGGGUGCUCUUCAUCGAGUGUCCCGCGUGGCCGGC
RNAcentral lists this ribosomal RNA (716 nucleotides) under Hemigrapsus penicillatus. Its description in RNAcentral is "SSU rRNA". It matches the Rfam family "Eukaryotic small subunit ribosomal RNA", at positions 51 to 747 of the family's 1831-position model. The record is from RNAcentral. Lineage: Eukaryota; Metazoa; Arthropoda; Malacostraca; Decapoda; Varunidae.